RNAcentral lists this ribosomal RNA (486 nucleotides) under uncultured bacterium. Its description in RNAcentral is "partial 16S ribosomal RNA". It matches the Rfam family "Bacterial small subunit ribosomal RNA", at positions 30 to 507 of the family's 1533-position model. The record is from RNAcentral.
AUUGAACGCUGGCGGCAUGCCUUACACAUGCAAGUCGAACGGCAGCACGGGUGCUUGCACCUGGUGGCGAGUGGCGAACGGGUGAGUAAUACAUCGGAACAUGUCCUGUAGUGGGGGAUAGCCCGGCGAAAGCCGGAUUAAUACCGCAUACGAUCCACGGAUGAAAGCGGGGGACCUUCGGGCCUCGCGCUAUAGGGUUGGCCGAUGGCUGAUUAGCUAGUUGGUGGGGUAAAGGCCUACCAAGGCGACGAUCAGCAGCUGGUCUGAGAGGACGACCAGCCACCCUGGAACUGGGCCAGGGCCCAGACUCCUACGGGAGGCAGCAGUGGGGAAUUUUGGACAAUGGGCGAAAGCCUGAUCCAGCAAUGCCGCGUGUGUGAAGAAGGCCUUGGGGUUGUAAAGCCCUUUUGUCCGGAAAGAAAUCCUUGGCUCUAAUACAGUCGGGGGAUGACGGUACCGGAAGAAUAAGCACCGGCUAACUACGUG